This 506-nucleotide ribosomal RNA is filed under the name Nakazawaea molendinolei. Its description in RNAcentral is "eukaryotic LSU rRNA". The stretch from base 119 to 272 matches the Rfam family "5.8S ribosomal RNA". The record is from RNAcentral. Lineage: Eukaryota; Fungi; Ascomycota; Pichiomycetes; Alaninales; Pachysolenaceae.
AUGGGGGUAAAAGCUCGUCUGCCAGAGGUUUAACCAAAACUCUAACUUAAAAACUUGAUUUUUUAAAUUGUCAUUUUUGAAAUUUGUCUGAUUAACUUCGGAUGAAACAAAUAUUCAAAACUUUCAACAACGGAUCUCUUGGUUCUCGCAUCGAUGAAGAACGCAGCGAAUUGCGAUAAGUAUUGUGAAUUGCAGAAUUUCGUGAAUCAUCGAAUCUUUGAACGCACAUUGCACCCUGUGGUAUUCCACAGGGUAUGCCUGUCUGAGCGUCAUUUCUCUCUCAAAACGCAAGUUUUGGUGUUGAGUGAUACUCGGGUUAAAUGGCUUGAGUUUGCUUGAAAAGUAUUGGCAAGGGAAGUGAGACUUCACUACAGCUGUUUAUUCAAUGUAUUAGGUUUAUCCAACUCGUUGAUUGACAGGUGGAAUGAGAUUUUGCUAAUAGGCCCGGCCUUACAACAAACAAACCAAAGUUUGACCUCAAAUCACGUAGGAUUAGCCGCUGAACU